Molecule: transfer RNA, 70 nt
Filed under: Loxodonta africana (African savanna elephant)
Lineage: Eukaryota; Metazoa; Chordata; Mammalia; Proboscidea; Elephantidae
Rfam family: tRNA
About the family: Transfer RNA (tRNA) molecules are approximately 80 nucleotides in length. Their secondary structure includes four short double-helical elements and three loops (D, anti-codon, and T loops). Further hydrogen bonds mediate the characteristic L-shaped molecular structure. tRNAs have two regions of fundamental functional importance: the anti-codon, which is responsible for specific mRNA codon recognition, and the 3' end, to which the tRNAs corresponding amino acid is attached (by aminoacyl-tRNA synthetases). tRNAs cope with the degeneracy of the genetic code in two manners: having more than one tRNA (with a specific anti-codon) for a particular amino acid; and 'wobble' base-pairing, i.e. permitting non-standard base-pairing at the 3rd anti-codon position.
Source: Rfam by way of RNAcentral
GCAUUGGUGGUUCAGUGGUAGAAUUCUCACCUCCCAUGCAGGAAACCUGGGUUCGAUUCCUGGCCAAGCA